RNAcentral lists this ribosomal RNA (273 nucleotides) under uncultured prokaryote. Its description in RNAcentral is "partial 16S ribosomal RNA". It matches the Rfam family "Bacterial small subunit ribosomal RNA", at positions 524 to 798 of the family's 1533-position model. The record is from RNAcentral.
UACGUAGGGGCUAGCGUUAUCCGGAAUUACUGGGCGUAAAGGAUGCGUAGGCGGUCUUUCAAGCCAGAAGUGAAAGGCUACGGCUCAACCGUAGUAAGCUUUUGGAACUGUAAGACUUGAGUGCAGGAGAGGAGAGUGGAAUUCCUAGUGUAGCGGUGAAAUGCGUAGAUAUUAGGAGGAACACCAGUAGCGAAGGCGGCUCUCUGGACUGUAACUGACGCUGAGGCACGAAAGCGUGGGUAGCAAACAGGAUUAGAUACCCGGGUAGUCCCU